CCUACGGGCGGCAGCAGUGGGGAAUAUUGGGCAAUGGGCGCAAGCCUGACCCAGCAACGCCGCGUGAAGGAAGAAGGCUUUCGGGUUGUAAACUUCUUUUCUGAGGGACGAAGAAAGUGACGGUACCUCAGGAAUAAGCCACGGCUAACUACGUGCCAGCAGCCGCGGUAAUACGUAGGUGGCAAGCGUUAUCCGGAUUUAUUGGGUGUAAAGGGCGUGUAGGCGGGAAAGCAAGUCAGAUGUGAAAACUCAGGGCUUAACCGCAGAACUGCAUUUGAAACUGUUGAUCUUGAGUACUGGAGAGGCAGACGGAAUUCCUAGUGUAGCGGUGAAAUGCGUAGAUAUUAGGAGGAACACCAGUGGAGAAGGCGGUCUGCUGGACAGCAACUGACGGUGAGGCGCGAAAGCGUGGGGAGCAAACAGGAUUAGAUACCCCUGUAGUC
This 443-nucleotide ribosomal RNA is filed under the name uncultured bacterium. RNAcentral describes it as "partial 16S ribosomal RNA". It matches the Rfam family "Bacterial small subunit ribosomal RNA", at positions 338 to 795 of the family's 1533-position model. The record is from RNAcentral.